RNAcentral lists this ribosomal RNA (543 nucleotides) under Triticum aestivum (bread wheat). Its description in RNAcentral is "partial small subunit ribosomal RNA". Lineage: Eukaryota; Viridiplantae; Streptophyta; Magnoliopsida; Poales; Poaceae. The record is from RNAcentral.
AUGAAAAUCAUCCAAGACUUUGGUGAAGCAAUGGGUCUGAAGAUAAAUCUGAGCAAAUCAACUGCCACUCCCAUUUGUUGUGAAGAUAUUAAUCUACCCGAGGUUCUGCAGAGGUUUGGUGGGCAAACUAAAAACUUCCCAAUAACCUACCAUGGUAUGCCGAUCACCCCCUCAAGAAUCAGAAUGGUGCAUCUACAAUUUGUGCUUGACUACAUCAGGGCCAGACUCACAAGCUGGAAACGGAAGCUCCUCUCCACUGCAGGCCGAUGAGUCCUGGUUCACGUCGUGCUUAGCUCUCUGCCAACUUUCACCAUCACUGCUCUUCGAUUCCCGAAGAAAAUUCUCAAGGAAGUUGAGAAAUCAAGAAGAUGCUUCCUCUGGGUCCAAGACGAGGAAAUCACUGGCAAGUGUAAAGUCAGCUGGACCAAGGUGUGCUCCCCGGUGAAGUACAUAGGCCUCGGAAUCCUUGAUCUAAAAAUAUUUAGUAGAGCCCUACGACUGAGAUGGUUAUGGAAUUCUUGGGGGGGGGGGCAACGAUCGUGA